UAUGCUGAACCCCAAGUGAACUUGGAGAGAGACCUGGUUAUGUGGUUUCCAAUGUGUUUCUUUUUUUGAGGGAAAUAACAUCCAUUUAUCCAGAGAGCCGUAUCUGGAUUUGGCAAUGAGCACAUUCUACAAUCUGAAAAGGGACCCGACAGGCUAUUUUUUGGGUGGAGGAAGGAAGAUGCCGUCCUAGUGCAAGGAACGCAAGAGAAUUAUCAGGAAUGGCUGUGCAUCUCUUGCCAUUCUGAUCCUGAGGGACUCAUCAAGCAGUGAACCCACAGCCUUAUCCUGGACCUAACAUCUGUGGACAGGAGCACUGGGGUGCCUGACUACUGCCUGGACCAUGUGAGCACCUCUGCCCUGACAGCUGGACAGACUUCUUGGACGUCACAGAUAUCCA
Gymnogyps californianus (California condor) is the source of this 397-nucleotide long non-coding RNA. RefSeq lists it as uncharacterized. The record is from RefSeq and is a predicted model, not a curated record. Lineage: Eukaryota; Metazoa; Chordata; Aves; Accipitriformes; Cathartidae. The transcript is spliced from 3 exons.